GUGGGGAAUCUUAGACAAUGGGGGAAACCCUGAUCUAGCCAUGCCGCGUGAGCGAUGAAGGCCUUAGGGUUGUAAAGCUCUUUCAGCUGGGAAGAUAAUGACGGUACCAGCAGAAGAAGCCCCGGCUAACUCCGUGCCAGCAGCCGCGGUAAUACGGAGGGGGCUAGCGUUGUUCGGAAUUACUGGGCGUAAAGCGCGCGUAGGCGGACCAGAAAGUUGGAGGUGAAAUCCCAGGGCUCAACCUUGGAACUGCCUUCAAAACUCCUGGUCUGGAGUUCGAGAGAGGUGAGUGGAAUUCCGAGUGUAGAGGUGAAAUUCGUAGAUAUUCGGAGGAACACCAGUGGCGAAGGCGGCUCACUGGCUCGAUAAUGACGCUGAGGUGCGAAAGCGUGGGGAGCAAACAGGAUUAGAAACCCCUGUAGUCC
This 425-nucleotide ribosomal RNA is filed under the name uncultured bacterium. RNAcentral's name for it is "partial 16S ribosomal RNA". It matches the Rfam family "Bacterial small subunit ribosomal RNA", at positions 354 to 796 of the family's 1533-position model. The record is from RNAcentral.